Macadamia integrifolia is the source of this 1415-nucleotide long non-coding RNA. RefSeq lists it as uncharacterized. The record is from RefSeq and is a predicted model, not a curated record. Lineage: Eukaryota; Viridiplantae; Streptophyta; Magnoliopsida; Proteales; Proteaceae. The transcript is spliced from 3 exons.
UCAAAUAUCUUUUAUUUUUCCUUGAAAAUUCAGCUAUUCCCUCUCGACCCAAAUCUUCUCUCUCUCUUCAACUUUUCAUCACUCUCCCUUCUUCUUUGAUGGCAGUGUCGCCGGUGGGUAACUAAAUUAGUAACCCUCUCUCCUCUUAGAUUAUUUUUCUCCUCUUAUUCUUAGACUGCAGAUCAUCCCUCCCUUUCAUUGUUCCUACCCUUUCUCUUUUCUUUUCCUUCUCUUUCAGGGAAACACAAGAAAAAGAAAGAAGAUAAAUUUAACAAACAUGCUUGCAAGGAACCCUAACUCCUGUGAACAGUUACCUCUCUCUCUCUAGCAAUGGAUUUUUUCUUUCUUUCCGUCAAUUUUCCUCCAAGAGGGAAAUCAUUCCACUUUAACUCUCAUCCAAGAGGGAAAUCAGGUCAUUCUUGUUCGAUGGUGCUAUUGAAGGUCGAUGUGGAACUCACCAUUGUUGGGGAGAAGCUGUGUUUGUCAUGAGAAUCUCUCUAGGAAUUCAUGUCGGUUUGUCGGAACUCUUUCCUUGGAGAUGGAUGCUAAUUCUCUAAGAUGGUUAACAGUUUGGUGAUGAGGAAAAUUUAUUAUGGGAUUGGAUCCUUACAUCUUAGCUAUUGAUUUGUGGACAAAAUAAGCUACAGUCAUGAACCUCAUGCAUGCUGAAAGCAUUGUCCCCUUCCCCCCCCCCCCCAAAAAAAAUUCAUUUGUCUACUUUUCACGCUUGAUUGAAGUUAUAUGAUAUGAAUUUGGCUCCUCUGUGGCACAUGACAAUGUCCCACGCGCAUCCAACGCCUAGCAAUGCUUUGGGCUGUGUGUGACUGCCUUGGGCUUUGUGCCAAGACGUUUUUGGUCGUUGAAUGUGCGCUAGACACUGUGUUGCUCCACAGAGGAGCUCAAUCAGAUACGACCUGAGUGGCUGCACACUAAUCAAUAGGAAGUAACUCAUUGAUGUCCUGGCCUUUCUGAACCACUGUUGUACCAAAAAAAAAAAGUGAACUACUGGGUAGAAAACAAGAUAUUUAUUUGAAAACCAUACUUUUUGUCUUUCUGAAAGUUUUGCUGGAAGAUUGGUUGAAUGUCAUUUGAAUAAGAAUGUAUGAACAAGCCUUGCGAUCAAUGAUAAUAAAUUUCUCUGUUAAAUAUUUGAUUCUUUAGAAUGAACAAAACAAUACAGAUUUCUGACUUGGUGUACAAAGAAUAUUGUUCUUCAGAGUUCCCCAUCACAAGCCUAUUCCAGUUAUGGUUACCUUAUUUCCCUUUCCAUUUAAAAGAAAAAGGUUAAUUCCAUGGGCUGAAACCCGGUUAGCCUAACAGGAGUAAAACAUAGGAUUACACAAGAAAGUAGAAAUCUAUAUAGGUUGUAAUCACUUGCCAUAUGGAACUAUAAAUACCCAAAUAUACUGAGGGAU